RNAcentral lists this ribosomal RNA (478 nucleotides) under uncultured Pelotomaculum sp. Its description in RNAcentral is "bacterial SSU rRNA". It matches the Rfam family "Bacterial small subunit ribosomal RNA", at positions 902 to 1382 of the family's 1533-position model. The record is from RNAcentral. Lineage: Bacteria; Bacillati; Bacillota; Clostridia; Eubacteriales; Desulfotomaculaceae.
CAAAUGAAUUGACGGGGCCGCACAAGCGUGGAGCAUGUGGUUAAUUCGACGCAACGCGAAGAACCUUACCAGGGCUUGACAUCCCCUGACCGCGUAUGAAAGUACGUUUUCACCCUCGGGUGACAGGGAGACAGGUGGUGCAUGGUUGUCGUCAGCUUGUGUCGUGAGAUGUUGGGUUAAGUCCCGCAACGAGCGCAACCCCUACGUUUAGUUGCUAACGCGUGAAGGCGAGCACUCUAGACGAACUGCCGUUGACAAAACGGAGGAAGGUGGGAUGACGUCAAAUCAUCAUGCCCCUUAUGUUCUGGGCUACACACGUGCUACAAUGGCCGGUACAGACGGACGCAAAGCCGCGAGGUGGAGCAAAUCCUAAAAAGCCGGUCUCAGUUCGGAUUGCAGGCUGCAAUUCGCCUGCAUGAAGUCGGAAUCGCUAGUAAUCGCAGGUCAGCAUACUGCGGUGAAUACGUUCCCGGGCCUU